Phacochoerus africanus (Common warthog) is the source of this 991-nucleotide long non-coding RNA. RefSeq lists it as uncharacterized. The record is from RefSeq and is a predicted model, not a curated record. NCBI's taxonomy places the organism in Eukaryota, Metazoa, Chordata, Mammalia, Artiodactyla, Suidae. The transcript has 3 exons.
GACUGUCCUCGCGCCGCGGCUUUGGCCGCUCGCGGGGCGGGGCACCGCCGCGCAUGCGCUCCAGGAGCAUCGACUUCGUCCCAGACACCGGGAGGCCCCGCAGGCGCAGCUGCUGUCGGAGCUCUGAGACCUGAGGUCUCCUUCCACUCCGACCCUCACCUCGUUCCAUCAGCGAGUUGAGAAGGGACGCAUUGGAGAAGAAGAACAAGUAGCCGAAUGUCUGAGACACAAGAUCUGGGUGCAGCUCGCACUGGCUGGUCAGUUCCAGGGCUGCCUGGAACACCCCCAGGUAUCUCCUUCCCUGGGACCUGGCUGGGACCGUACUUUCCGGCAUAUGGAAGAUUAACACGACCCACGGAAUUCUGGGAGUUGUAGUUUUGUCGCCCUUCAACCUGAGGAUGCGGCAUAGGACUCUCCCGGUAGAAGAGGAUGUGCCUACCUGGGCGUCUUGGUAGCCUUGCAGUAGCAGGAAGUAGGGGCGGUUGCUGGGGGCCUGGAUGAGGCACUGGGUCAAUUGGUCAAAGUCGCCGGGGUCUACUGGUCCGAUUUGGGCGUCGGCUGCGCCUGGGGCCAUGCUAAGGGCCUGCUGCCUGCGCUCCUGCUGCCGCCUCCGCCGACCCUGCAGACUGAGCUCCGAUACGCUGCGCCGCAGGGACAGGUUUUCUGAGCGCUCCUUGCCCCCGGACCCAGCCGGGGGCCCUGACCCGGACCCCGGGCUAGGGCUGGCCAGAGCCGCCCCACCAGACGCCGCCCGGGAGCGGUUCUUCUGUGGCCGCCACGAGGGGGCGCCGGUGCCUGCGGAGAGAGACGGGGAGUGAUGGAUGAGACUGAGACAGAGGAGGCUCAGCUGGAGAUGAUAGCCAACUGGAUGUGAGGAUGCUUCCCACAUUUCGUUUUUUUACAUAUGCUGUUCCCUGCGCCUGGAACAUACUUCUUGCCUGACUCUUACCCAUCUUGCAGUUUCAGCUCAUAAAUUCAUUCAUUCUUCCAA